This 433-nucleotide ribosomal RNA is filed under the name uncultured bacterium. RNAcentral describes it as "partial 16S ribosomal RNA". It matches the Rfam family "Bacterial small subunit ribosomal RNA", at positions 29 to 507 of the family's 1533-position model. The record is from RNAcentral.
AACGAGCGCUGGCGGCAUGCCUAACACAUGCAAGUCGAACGAGACCUUCGGGUCUAGUGGCGCACGGGUGCGUAACGCGUGGGAACCUGCCCUUAGGUUCGGAAUAACUCCCUGAAAGGGGUGCUAAUACCGGAUAAUGUCUGCGGACCAAAGAUUUAUCGCCUUUGGAUGGGCCCGCGUUGGAUUAGCUAGUUGGUAUGGUAAAAGCCUACCAAGGCGACGAUCCAUAGCUGGUCUGAGAGGAUGAUCAGCCACACUGGGACUGAGACACGGCCCAGACUCCUACGGGAGGCAGCAGUGGGGAAUAUUGGACAAUGGGCGAAAGCAUGAUCCAGCAAUGCCGCGUGAGUGAUGAAGGCCUUAGGGUUGUAAAGCUCUUUUACCCGGGAUGAUAAUGACAGUACCGGGAGAAUAAGCUCCGGCUAACUCCGUG